Molecule: unclassified non-coding RNA, 217 nt
Filed under: Hevea brasiliensis (rubber tree)
Lineage: Eukaryota; Viridiplantae; Streptophyta; Magnoliopsida; Malpighiales; Euphorbiaceae
Source: RNAcentral
AGCACUAUUCGGUUUGUAUAUUCAGUUCAGUUCAGUUUUCAGAACGAACAAAACUGCAAUAACCCGCAUGGCCAAAGGCCAAAUGUGAAGAUUCCCAUGAUUGGGUUUGUGAUUUUUUCUUUCGAACUCUAUUGUCUUCAAAUUUCUAAUAUGUCAUAAACUGAUGAAUUUGAAUGCCUCAAAUUUAAAUUGGAUCUUCUAUUUUUUUGUUUUUUUU